RNAcentral lists this ribosomal RNA (253 nucleotides) under uncultured bacterium. RNAcentral describes it as "partial 16S ribosomal RNA". It matches the Rfam family "Bacterial small subunit ribosomal RNA", at positions 524 to 776 of the family's 1533-position model. The record is from RNAcentral.
UACGUAGGAGACGAGCGUUGUCCGGAAUCACUGGGCGUAAAGCGCGUGUAGGCGGAUCGGCAAGUCUGCUGUGAAAGCUCCUGGCUUAACCGGGAGUGGUCGGUGGAAACUGCCAGUCUGGAGGACGGUAGAGGUAGGUAGAAUUCCCGGUGUAGUGGUGAAAUGCGUAGAGAUCGGGAGGAAUACCUGUGGCGAAGGCAGGUCUCUGGGCAUUAACUGACGCUGAGGAGCGAAAGCAUGGGGAGCGAACAGG